AGAGUUUGAUCAUGGCUCAGGAUGAACGCUAGCGGCAGGCCUAACACAUGCAAGUCGAACGGUAACAGGGAUUGCUUGCAAUCCGCUGACGAGUGGCGCACGGGUGCGUAACGCGUAUAGAACCUACCCUUGACAGGGGGAUAGCCCGGAGAAAUCCGGAUUAAUACCCCAUAGUAAUAUUUUAAGGCAUCUUAAGAUAUUUAAAGUUUCGGUGGUCAAGGAUGGCUAUGCGUCCUAUUAGUUAGUAGGUGAGGUAACGGCUCACCUAGGCAUCGAUAGGUAGGGGCCCUGAGAGGGGGAUCCCCCACACUGGUACUGAGACACGGACCAGACUCCUACGGGAGGCAGCAGUGAGGAAUAUUGGACAAUGGUCGAGAGACUGAUCCAGCCAUGCCGCGUGCAGGAAGACGGCCUUAUGGGUUGUAAACUGCUUUUAUACGGGAAGAAUAAUACCCACGAGUGGGUAGAUGACGGUACCGUACGAAUAAGGACCGGCUAACUCCGUGCCAGCAGCCGCGGUAAUACGGAGGGUCCAAGCGUUAUCCGGAAUCAUUGGGUUUAAAGGGUCCGCAGGCGGGUCAGUAAGUCAGGGGUGAAAGUUUGCGGCUCAACCGUAAAAUUGCCUUUGAUACUGCUGGUCUUGAGUUGCGGUGAAGUGGCCGGAAUAUGUGGUGUAGCGGUGAAAUGCAUAGAUAUCACAUAGAACACCGAUUGCGAAGGCAGGUCACUAACCGCCGACUGACGCUGAUGGACGAAAGCGUGGGGAGCGAACGGGAUUAGAUACCCCGGUAGUCCACGCCGUAAACGAUGGACACUAGCUGUCGGACUUUCGGGUUCGGUGGCUAAGCGAAAGUGAUAAGUGUCCCACCUGGGGAGUACGUUCGCAAGAAUGAAACUCAAAGGAAUUGACGGGGGCCCGCACAAGCGGUGGAGCAUGUGGUUUAAUUUCGAUGAUACGCGAGGAACCUACCAGGGCUUAAAUGUAGUGGGACAGGCUNGAGAUAGGCUUUUCUUCGGACUCAUUUAC
RNAcentral lists this ribosomal RNA (1027 nucleotides) under uncultured bacterium. RNAcentral's name for it is "bacterial SSU rRNA". It matches the Rfam family "Bacterial small subunit ribosomal RNA", at positions 8 to 1034 of the family's 1533-position model. The record is from RNAcentral.